AGUCGGCUGCACCCAGGGACCCGUGAAAAGGCCGCUAAAUGUCCGUACCAAGAUCUGACACUGGUGCCCCUAGCUGAAAAGGCUAAGGCGUGUCGGAGUACUUCAGUUAAGGGAAUUCGGCAAAUUAGCUCCGUAACUUCGGGAUAAGGAGUGCCUGCUGUGAAGACAGCAGGUCGCAGUGACCAGGGGGCUCUAACUGUCUAAUACCAACAUAGGAGAUUGCAAACCCGUAAGGGCUAGUACAAUCUCUGAAUCCUGCUCAGUGCAGGUACCUGAAACCCCGUUUCAACGGGAAGAAGGGCCUGUAAACAGCGGGGGUAACUAUGACCCUCUUAAGGUAGCGUAGUACCUUGUCGCUUAAUUGGCGACUUGCAUGAAUGGAUCAAUGAGAGCCCUACUGUCCCUAACUGGAAUCCGGUGAAGCUUACAUUCUAGUGCACAGUCUAGAGACCUCUAGGGGGAAGUGAAGACCCCGUGGAGCUUUACUGCAGCCUGUCGCUGGGUUGUGGUUCUGGAUGUACAGAGUAGGUAGGAGGCAUCGAAGCGGGUGCGCCAGCAUCCGUGGAGCCGCAAUUGGGACACUACCCUUCUGGGACUACGACCCUAACUCUGCGAAGAGGACCCCGAUAGGUGGGCAGUUUGCCUGGGGCGGGACGCCCUUGAAAAGAUAUCAAGGGCGCGCAAUGGUUGACUCAAGUGGGUCGGAAACUCACUGAAGAGUGCAAGAGCAUAAGUCAGCCUGACGUUAUUCAGCACAGCAGUGGAUGACGAGACGAAAGUCGGCUCUAGCGAACUUUUGAGCCUCCUUGGUGGGGGCCAAAAAUGACAGAAAAGUUACCCCGGGGAUAAUUGAGUCGUUGCCGGCAAGAGUACAUAUCGACCCGGCAGCUUGCUACCUCGAUGUCGGUUCUUUCCAUCCUGGCCGUGCAGCAGCGGCCAAGGGUGAGGUUGUUCGCCUAUUAAAGGAGAUCGUGAGCUGGGUUUAGACCGUCGUGAGACAGGUCGGUUACUAUCUACUAGAGGUGCACGAGGUCUGCGGGUAAGCUGCUUUUAGUACGAGAGGAACCAAGCAGCGGCGCCACUGGUGUACCGGUUGUCUGACAAGGCAUAGCCGGGCAGCUACGCGCCAAGGAAUAAGAGCUGAAUGCAUCUAAGCUCGAACUCUGACCUAAAAAGAGACCUCAUUAAGGAUUCCGGUAAAAGACCGGUUUGAUAGAAACGGGAUGUAAGCACCAAGGCAACGAGGUGUUCAGUCCGCGUUCACUAACCAUCCGUUCCUUUCCU
Molecule: ribosomal RNA, 1284 nt
Filed under: marine sediment metagenome
Description: bacterial LSU rRNA
Rfam family: Archaeal large subunit ribosomal RNA
Source: RNAcentral